GUGCACCAGGCGCGAAACUUUACAAUGUGCGAAAGCACGAUAAGGGAACUCUGAGUGCCUCCUAAGGAGGCUGUUCAGGUGUCUAAAAGCACCUGGAGUAAGGGCUGGGUAAGACCGGUGCCAGCCGCCGCGGUAACACCGGCAGCCCAGGUGGUAGCCACUUUUAUUGGGUCUAAAGCGCCCGUAGCCGGUUGAGUAAGUUCCUUGGGAAAUUUGGCUGCUCAACAGUCAAGCUUCCAGGGAAUACUGCUCGACUUGGGGACUGGGAGAGGUCAGAGGUACUCCAGGGGUAGGGGUGAAAUCCAUUAAUCCCUGGGGGACCACCGGUAGCGAAGGCGUCUGACCAGACCAGGUCCGACGGUGAGGGACGAAGGCUAGGGUCGCGAACCGGAUUAGAUA
Molecule: ribosomal RNA, 399 nt
Filed under: uncultured microorganism
Description: bacterial SSU rRNA
Rfam family: Archaeal small subunit ribosomal RNA
Source: RNAcentral